AAACCAAGCAGAAUUCACGGGGUAUUUCGGUGGCGAUUCGGCACCUGCUAAAAAAAACCCACGACGAGCUGAAGUGAGUUUUAAAAACCCCCACCUCAGGUUCAGGCCUUUGUCUGGUUAGUGCAGCGGCGAGGAAUCGACAGGCUUGCCUGGGGCUUUCCUUCAGCGGCCGUGUGCGCUGCGGCGUAAGCCCUGCGCGGGCGACACCGGCCACAUGCGCACACAAACAAAACAAGCGCACACGUUACUGACACCUAACUCCGCAGCUGUGCCUGGAAAGUUCACACCCCGGCGAGGGCAAAUAUGCUGCAGUGUCACCUUUUGCAGAAGAUAACGCACCAGGAGCAGAGGGGUCGGAAACCGUGCGUGGGUCACUGCAGCAGCCGCACGGAGUUGACGUGAAGAUGGUAGACGAAGUCGGCGUAGGACGCCCCUCCGUUGGGACUCUUGUCCUCCACCAGGUGGCGCUGCAGAGCCUCCUCGCAGGCGUCACCCUGCUUCACCACCCACAGCUGGGAGAGAAGGACACACGGCCUUGUCAGCGGCUACAAGAAGUGGCGUCAUCCGUCAACACCCGCUUUGAUUCUGGUGCGGAUGUGCAGGUUUCACCUGUAACUCAGUAAAAAUGUGAUGAAGACAAACUCCUGCGUGUUGACCGUACUGACCAGAGGCAGCAGCAGAGGGUAGAAGUGUGUGGCGGUGCUGCAGGUGU
Xiphias gladius (swordfish) is the source of this 712-nucleotide long non-coding RNA. RefSeq lists it as uncharacterized. The transcript is spliced from 3 exons. The record is from RefSeq and is a predicted model, not a curated record. Lineage: Eukaryota; Metazoa; Chordata; Actinopteri; Istiophoriformes; Xiphiidae.